RNAcentral lists this ribosomal RNA (468 nucleotides) under uncultured bacterium. RNAcentral's name for it is "partial 16S ribosomal RNA". It matches the Rfam family "Bacterial small subunit ribosomal RNA", at positions 28 to 507 of the family's 1533-position model. The record is from RNAcentral.
GACGAACGCUGGCGGCGUGCUUAACACAUGCAAGUCGAACGGAAAGGCCCUGCUUUUGUGGGGUGCUCGAGUGGCGAACGGGUGAGUAACACGUGAGUAACCUGCCCUUGACUUUGGGAUAACUUCAGGAAACUGGGGCUAAUACCGGAUAGGAGCUCCUGCUGCAUGGUGGGGGUUGGAAAGUUUCGGCGGUUGGGGAUGGACUCGCGGCUUAUCAGCUUGUUGGUGGGGUAGUGGCUUACCAAGGCUUUGACGGGUAGCCGGCCUGAGAGGGUGACCGGCCACAUUGGGACUGAGAUACGGCCCAGACUCCUACGGGAGGCAGAAGUGGGGAGUAUUGCACAAUGGGCGGAAGCCUGAUGCAGCAACGCCGCGUGCGGGAUGACGGCCUUCGGGUUGUAAACCGCUUUCGCCGGUGACGAAGCGUGAGUGACGGUAAUGGGUAAAGAAGCACCGGCUAACUACGUG